This 333-nucleotide unclassified non-coding RNA is filed under the name soil metagenome. RNAcentral describes it as "partial contains 5.8S ribosomal RNA, internal transcribed spacer 2, and large subunit ribosomal RNA". The stretch from base 1 to 120 matches the Rfam family "5.8S ribosomal RNA", at positions 35 to 154 of the family's 154-position model. The record is from RNAcentral.
GAUGAAGAACGUAGCGAAAUGCGAUAAGUAAUGUGAAUUGCAGAAUUCAGUGAAUCAUCGAAUCUUUGAACGCACAUUGCGCCCGCCAGUAUUCUGGCGGGCAUGCCUGUUCGAGCGUCAUUUCAACCAUCAAGCCCCCGGGCCUGUGUUGGGGACCUGCGGCUGCCCGCAGGCCCCGAAAACCAGUGGCGGGCUCGCUGUCACCCCGAGCGUAGUAGCUAACACCUCGCCCAGGGAGUGCCGCGGGUCCCGGCCGUAAAACCUAACACCUAAGGUUGACCUCGGAUCAGGUAGGAAGACCCGCUGAACUUAAGCAUAUCAAUAAGCGGAGGA